Monodelphis domestica (gray short-tailed opossum) is the source of this 103-nucleotide small nuclear RNA. NCBI's taxonomy places the organism in Eukaryota, Metazoa, Chordata, Mammalia, Didelphimorphia, Didelphidae. The record is from Ensembl.
AUGCUAACUUUGGCAGCACAUAUACUAAAACUUGAACAAUACAGAAUUAGUAUGGCUUCUGCACAAAGAGAACAUGUGACUUCAUAAAGUAUUGCAUAUCUUU